CCUACGGGAGGCAGCAGUGGGGAAUAUUGCACAAUGGGGGGAACCCUGACGCAGCAAUGCCGCGUGGGUGAAGAAGCACUCCGGUGCGUAAAGCCCUGUCAGCAGGGAAGAAAAUGACAGUACCUGGACAAGAAGCUCCGGCUAACUACGUGCCAGAUGCCGCGGUAAUACGUAGGGGGCAAGGGUUAUCCGGAUUUACUGGGUGUAAAGGGGACGCAGGCGGCGUGGCAAGUCAGAUGUGAAAACGCGGGGCCCAACCGUAGGAUUGCAAUUGAAACUGGCAGUCUGGAGUGCAGGUGAGGUAAGCGGAAUUCCUGGUGUAGCGGUGAAAUGCGUAGAUAUCAGGAGGAACACCGGUGGCGGAGGCGGCUUACUGAACGGCAACUGACGCUGAGGCUCGAAAGCGUGGGGAGCAAACAGGAUUAGAUACCCGUGUAGUC
RNAcentral lists this ribosomal RNA (440 nucleotides) under uncultured bacterium. RNAcentral describes it as "partial 16S ribosomal RNA". It matches the Rfam family "Bacterial small subunit ribosomal RNA", at positions 338 to 795 of the family's 1533-position model. The record is from RNAcentral.